UCAUCAUAAUAAAUACUUAAUACACAUGUGACUAUCAAGCCAGGGCCACCAGAACCAAAAGUGUUUGAUAACUUUAAUAUGAUGAACAUCCACAUGAUUAUGAGAAGCUGAGAUAGCUAGGUGUCGUCUCUCACUUUAUGACAUCAUUCUCACAAGCACAAAUGGAAUCAAGUCUGGAGAGUUUGCUUGAUAGACAUAAUUUACCUGGUAUUUUGACUGUACCACUGAGGGAGGCGUCGUCGCUGUACGGGUGUGGACUCUCCUGAAUCACUGGUUGCGGCAACCUCCCACAAACACGAUCCGAUGCCACAUCCUCCAGCUCCGUAACACACAACUCCAGCAACAUCUCCGCUACCUGCACAGAAUGACAACGCACCGAUUACUUACAGAUAUUCAAUGAAAUUACAGGAGACACAUGUAUAAAAAAAGAUAAACACUUUAGUUUGAGAAAUGAAGAAUUUGAAUUAUGAAUAAUACAAUUUAUGUAGAGUGAUGAUGUAAAAAAAGUUUUCUGUUUUAAAACAUGUACAUGUACUUCAAUUUCUGACAGUGUAAUUUGCAGACACAAACUUGUAUCAAUAAAAAAUUCAUAAUGUCAA
Long non-coding RNA from Ostrea edulis (European flat oyster), 599 nucleotides. RefSeq lists it as uncharacterized. NCBI's taxonomy places the organism in Eukaryota, Metazoa, Mollusca, Bivalvia, Ostreida, Ostreidae. The transcript is spliced from 2 exons. The record is from RefSeq and is a predicted model, not a curated record.